Long non-coding RNA from Humulus lupulus (European hop), 1245 nucleotides. RefSeq lists it as uncharacterized. The transcript is spliced from 3 exons. NCBI's taxonomy places the organism in Eukaryota, Viridiplantae, Streptophyta, Magnoliopsida, Rosales, Cannabaceae. The record is from RefSeq and is a predicted model, not a curated record.
GAAUUUUCAUAAUGUGUUUUCUAACCAGGAAGGCAAUGUUGCCAACUAGAGGGAACAUCUAAUUCUUCUCCUUGCCAAUAUUCACAUUCAGAAAGCUAAUAAGCAGUCUAUCUUGAAGAGUUAUACACAGUAUAUCCCUUUGCCAAUCAGUGACCUUGAUUCUUGGUUGAAGACACCCUCCAUAUAUGUUUUUGAUUGCUCUGCGGCUGGGGGAAUAUUGUGAAUGCUUUUAUUGAGCUUCAUGAUUGGGUUGCUUCUAGCUCCUCUGGAUCCACAAGGGAUUGCAUUCUACUUGGAGCUUGUGAAGCACAUGAGACUCUUCCACAAAGUGCUGAAUUUCCUACAGAUGUGUUUACGUCUUGUCUCACAACACCUAUUUAGAUGGCUUUGAGAUGGUGAGCUUCUUUUCUUGUUCGUCUGUUAGGAUCGCCUAUCGCGUUUAUGCAUCUUUAUUUGAGAUCAUGCAGUUUUCUGGUUUUGCCUUGUGGUGUUUAUUCCAUAUUGGCUGCUUCCUAGUUAUUUUUAGUUUGUCAACUGAAAGUCUUUUAGCUGUGUUGUUUGUUUAAAGCUGUAGGAAGUUAGAAAUGGCAUGGUAUAUAAAAUACAGAGAAAUCAAUCCUUAUUCCUAAAUCCAACUCGACCGAUGCCUUGUGACGUGAUUGGUUUGAAUAAAUGCUUUGAAAUAUACACAAGUUAGCUAAUCUCUGCCUCUAUUUUGGGCAGUGAAUGCUUUUUCUUAUGAGACUAAAUUUUUUUUGUUGUAUUUUAAGUUGUGGAUAACAAUUGGUUUUUAUUUUUUAAGAUAACAAUUAGUUUUUGUGUUGUGGAUCAUUAGAUCUGUUUUAUUAACAUAAGGAUGUAAUAUUUGCUUCUACAUUUACUAUCAUUCUAGUCAUAGAAAUUUAGUAUAGUUUAGUUACAAGUUUAAUUGUUUUGCACCUAUAAGGGCUCUAUAACCCAUGCUUGCAAACUGGAAGUGACAUCAGGGAAAUAGUGUUUGAAGUGUUUGUUGAUAAGGAAGCUUUAUACUGUAUUUCAGAUGAAUCUGAAUCUACUUUUCAUGAGGCUUUUCUUAGUCGUCUUACGGAAACUGGUGCAACAGAAAGUUCAUCUUUAUGUGACCUUCCUAAACAGAUGGAAGGUGAUCAACAGAGAGCCUCUGAAUAGACUAAGAACAUCUUAAGUAAUUUAGUUGCUGCUAUUGACAAUUUGUGGUAUCUAAAAGAUGGAAUACAUACUGUAAUC